This 254-nucleotide ribosomal RNA is filed under the name uncultured bacterium. Its description in RNAcentral is "partial 16S ribosomal RNA". It matches the Rfam family "Bacterial small subunit ribosomal RNA", at positions 524 to 776 of the family's 1533-position model. The record is from RNAcentral.
UACGUAGGUGGCAAGCGUUGUCCGGAGUUAUUGGGCGUAAAGCGCACGCAGGCGGUCUGCUAAGUUUGGAGUGACAGUUGGUGGCUUAACUGCCAAAGUGCUUCGAAAACUGACAGACUUGAGGGCUUCAGAGGGACACGGAAUUCCGGGUGGAGUGGUGAAAUGCGUAGAGAUCCGGAGGAACACCAAAGGCGAAGGCAGUGUCCUGGGGAGUACCUGACGCUCGAGGUGCGAAAGCCAGGGGAGCGAACGGG